GGGUGAGUAACGCGUGGGUAACCUGCCUCAUACACAUGGUUAACAUACCGAAAGGUAUGCUAAUACAGGAUAACAUGUUUUUAUCGCAUGAUAAAAAUAUCAAAGCUCCGGCGGUAUGAGAUGGACCCGCGUCUGAUUAGCUAGUUGGUAAGGUAAUGGCUUACCAAGGCGACGAUAAGUAGCCGACCUGAGAGGGUGAUCGGCCACAUUGGAACUGAGACACGGUCCAAACUCCUACGGGAGGCAGCAGUGGGGAAUAUUGCACAAUGGGCGAAAGCCUGAUGCAGCAACGCCGCGUGAGCGAUGAAGGCCUUCGGGUCGUAAAGCUCUGUCCUCAAGGAAGAUAAUGACGGUACUUGAGGAGGAAGCCCCGGCUAACUACGUGCCAGCAGCCGCGGUAAUACGUAGGGGGCUAGCGUUAUCCGGAUUUACUGGGCGUAAAGGGUGCGUAGGCGGUCUUUCAAGUCAGGAGUGAAAGGCUACGGCUCAACCGUAGUAAGCUCUUGAAACUGGGAGACUUGAGUGCAGGAGAGGAGAGUGGAAUUCCUAGUGUAGCGGUGAAAUGCGUAGAUAUUAGGAGGAACACCAGUAGCGAAGGCGGCUCUCUGGACUGUAACUGACGCUGAGGCACGAAAGCGUGGGGAGCGAACAGGAUUAGAUACCCUGGUAGUCCACGCCGUAAACGAUGAGUACUAGG
RNAcentral lists this ribosomal RNA (697 nucleotides) under Asaccharospora sp. RNAcentral's name for it is "bacterial SSU rRNA". It matches the Rfam family "Bacterial small subunit ribosomal RNA", at positions 104 to 820 of the family's 1533-position model. Lineage: Bacteria; Bacillati; Bacillota; Clostridia; Peptostreptococcales; Peptostreptococcaceae. The record is from RNAcentral.